This 214-nucleotide ribosomal RNA is filed under the name Campeiostachys nutans. Its description in RNAcentral is "Elymus nutans partial small subunit ribosomal RNA". The stretch from base 38 to 214 matches the Rfam family "Eukaryotic small subunit ribosomal RNA", at positions 685 to 864 of the family's 1831-position model. Lineage: Eukaryota; Viridiplantae; Streptophyta; Magnoliopsida; Poales; Poaceae. The record is from RNAcentral.
GGACCAUCAUGUCGGUCGUGCCUCGCUACGUACCGGCAUUGUUGGUUUCUCCCUUCUGACGAACCACGAUGUCAUUUAUUUGGUGUUGUGGGGAAUCAGGACUGUUACUUUGAAAAAAUUAGAGUGUUUAAAGCAGGCUCACGCUUGAAUACAUUAGCAUGGAAUAAUAAAAUAGGACUUUGGUUCUAUUUUGUUGGCUUCUAGGAUUGACGUA